UACUGUAAAGAUUUGAGGCAACAUAGUUUGUGCUAGUUUUUCUUUAUAAUUAUUAUCUUUUCAAUCAGUUAUUGAUCUUAUAUUGUCUUUUAGGUACUUUAUAGUCUGUGUAUUAGUGUAUCAGUACCGUAUAUACUCGUAUUGAAUCAGUUGGCAUGGUAUUGGAUGAUGUCAGUACAGGGAGGAUCA
RNAcentral lists this long non-coding RNA (189 nucleotides) under Amphimedon queenslandica. Its description in RNAcentral is "uncharacterized LOC109588693". Lineage: Eukaryota; Metazoa; Porifera; Demospongiae; Haplosclerida; Niphatidae. The record is from RNAcentral.